This 1308-nucleotide ribosomal RNA is filed under the name metagenome. Its description in RNAcentral is "bacterial LSU rRNA". It matches the Rfam family "Bacterial large subunit ribosomal RNA", at positions 1578 to 2875 of the family's 2925-position model. The record is from RNAcentral.
CUUGAGACCGAAGUGAUUGAUACCCUGCUUCCAGGAAAAGCCACUAAGCUUCAGUCUAGAAUUGACCGUACCGCAAACCGACACAGGUGGGCAGGUAGAAGAUACUAAGGCGCUUGAGAGAACUCAGGAGAAGGAACUCGGCAAAUUGAUACCGUAACUUCGGGAGAAGGUAUGCCCUGGUAGCUUGUAGGAGAACAUCCGAAGGGCGACGGGGCCGCAGAGAAUCGGUGGCUGCGACUGUUUAUUAAAAACACAGCACUCUGCUGACACGAAAGUGGACGUAUAGGGUGUGACGCCUGCCCGGUGCCGGAAGGUUAAGUGAUGGGGUGCAAGCUCUUGAUCGAAGCCCCGGUAAACGGCGGCCGUAACAAUAACGGUCCUAAGGUAGCGAAAUUCCUUGUCGGGUAAGUCCCGACCUGCACGAAUGGCGUAACGAUGGCCACACUGUCUCCUCCUGAGACUCAGCGAAGUUGAAGUGUUUGUGAAGAUGCAAUCUCCCCGCGGCUAGACGGAAAGACCCCAUGAACCUUUACUGUAGUUUUGCAUUGGACUUUGACGGGACUUGUGUAGGAUAGGUGGGAGGCGCUGAGACCAGGACGCUAGUUCUGGUGGAGCCGUCCUUGGAAUACCACCCUGGUGUCGUUGAGGUUCUAACCUAGGUCCAUCAUCUGGAUCGGGGACCGUGCAUGGUAGGCAGUUUGACUGGGGCGGUCUCCUCCCAAAAGGUAACGGAGGAGUACGAAGGUCUUCUAGGUACGGUCGGACAUCGUACUGAUAGUGCAAUGGCAAAAGAAGGCUUGACUGCGAGACCGACAAGUCGAGCAGGUGCGAAAGCAGGUCAUAGUGAUCCGGUGGUUCUGUAUGGAAGGGCCAUCGCUCAACGGAUAAAAGGUACUCUGGGGAUAACAGGCUGAUUCCGCCCAAGAGUUCACAUCGACGGCGGAGUUUGGCACCUCGAUGUCGGCUCAUCACAUCCUGGGGCUGUAGCCGGUCCAAGGGUAUGGCUGUUCGCCAUUUAAAGUGGUACGUGAGCUGGGUUUAAAACGUCGUGAGACAGUUUGGUCCCUAUCUGCCGUGGGCGCUGGAUAUUUGAGGGGGCCUGCUCCUAGUACGAGAGGACCGGAGUGGACGGAUCUCUGGUGUACCGGUUGUGACGCCAGUCGCAUCGCCGGGUAGCUAAAUCCGGAAGAGAUAACCGCUGAAAGCAUCUAAGCGGGAAACUCGCCUCGAGAUGAGAUAUCCCUGGGAACUUGAUUCCCCUGAAGGGUCGUCGGAGACCACGACGUUGAUAGGUCGGGUGUGGAAGCG